AACAAGGUCUCCGUUGGUGAACCAGCGGAGGGAUCAUUACUGAGUUUACGCUCUACAACCCUUUGUGAACAUACCUAUAACUGUUGCUUCGGCGGGUAGGGUCUCCGUGACCCUCCCGGCCUCCCGCCCCCGGGCGGGUCGGCGCCCGCCGGAGGAUAACCAAACUCUGAUUUAACGACGUUUCUUCUGAGUGGUACAAGCAAAUAAUCAAAACUUUUAACAACGGAUCUCUUGGUUCUGGCAUCGAUGAAGAACGCAGCGAAAUGCGAUAAGUAAUGUGAAUUGCAGAAUUCAGUGAAUCAUCGAAUCUUUGAACGCACAUUGCGCCCGCCAGCAUUCUGGCGGGCAUGCCUGUUCGAGCGUCAUUUCAACCCUCAAGCUCUGCUUGGUGUUGGGGCCCUACAGCUGAUGUAGGCCCUCAAAGGUAGUGGCGGACCCUCCCGGAGCCUCCUUUGCGUAGUAACUUUACGUCUCGCACUGGGAUCCGGAGGGACUCUUGCCGUAAAACCCCCAAUUUUCCAAAGGUUGACCUCGGAUCAGGUAGGAAUACCCGCUGAACUUAAGCAUAUC
Molecule: ribosomal RNA, 570 nt
Filed under: Colletotrichum alatae
Lineage: Eukaryota; Fungi; Ascomycota; Sordariomycetes; Glomerellales; Glomerellaceae
Description: eukaryotic LSU rRNA
Rfam family: 5.8S ribosomal RNA (bases 212-365)
Source: RNAcentral